CCUACGAGCGGCAGCAGUGGGGAAUAUUGGGCAAUGGGCGCAAGCCUGACCCAGCAACGCCGCGUGAAGGAAGAAGGCUUUCGGGUUGUAAACUUCUUUUCUCAGGGACGAAGAAAGUGACGGUACCUGAGGAAUAAGCCACGGCAAACUACGUGCCACCAGCCGCGGUAAUACGUAGGUGGCAGGCGUUAUCCGGAUUUAUUGGGUGGAAAGGGCGUGUAGGCGGGAGAGCAAGUCAGAUGUGAAAACUCAGGGCUCAACCCUGAGCCUGCAUUUGAAACUGUGUUUCUUGAGUGCGGGAGGGGCAAUCGGAAUUCCGUGUGUAGCGGUGAAAUGCGAAGAUAUACGGAGGAACACCAGUGGCGAAGGCGGAUUGCGGGACAGUAACUGACGCUGGGGCGCGAAAGCGUGGGGAGCAAACAGGAUUAGAACCCCUGUAGUC
RNAcentral lists this ribosomal RNA (442 nucleotides) under uncultured bacterium. Its description in RNAcentral is "partial 16S ribosomal RNA". It matches the Rfam family "Bacterial small subunit ribosomal RNA", at positions 338 to 795 of the family's 1533-position model. The record is from RNAcentral.